Molecule: unclassified non-coding RNA, 288 nt
Filed under: Hevea brasiliensis (rubber tree)
Lineage: Eukaryota; Viridiplantae; Streptophyta; Magnoliopsida; Malpighiales; Euphorbiaceae
Source: RNAcentral
GCAGCAUGAAGAAGAGGAGUCUCACCUUCAUCAUCUUUUUCAUUGACAUCAAUUUUCAACUCUUCCACCAAAUACUUGCACAAUUCAAUCUUGCCUUCCCUGGCGGCAAAAAUCAAUGCCCCUCUUUUAUUACCAUCCUUCACAUCCGCCACUGUACCAGCCAACCCUUUUCCAUCAUCCAGUUGCUUUGCCAACUUCUUGAAAAGCUCAAUAUCCCCUGAACAAGCCGCCUUCAAAAACUUAUUAACUUUUUCUCUAACUGCAAGAGCAUCAGUAGCAUCAGGAGCC